This 495-nucleotide ribosomal RNA is filed under the name uncultured bacterium. RNAcentral's name for it is "partial 16S ribosomal RNA". It matches the Rfam family "Bacterial small subunit ribosomal RNA", at positions 28 to 507 of the family's 1533-position model. The record is from RNAcentral.
GACGAACGCUGGCGGCGUGCCUAAUAUAUGUAAGUAGAACGCUGAAGGCGGAGCUUGCUUCUCCGGAUGAGUUGCGAACGGGUGAGUAACGCGUAGGUAACCUGCCUGGUAGCGGGGGAUAACUAUUGGAAACGAUAGCUAAUACCGCAUAACAGUAGCUAUCCAAUGAUAUCUGCUUGAAAGGUGCAAAUGCAACACUAUCAGAUGGACCUGCGUUGGAUUAGUUAGUUCGUGGGGUAACGGCUCACCAAGGCGACGACACAUAGCCGACCUGAGAGGGGGAGCGGCCACACUGGGAGUGCGACGCGGCCCAGGCUCCUAGGGGAGGCAGCAGUAGGGAAGCUUAGGCGAUGGGCGGAAGGCUGACCGAGCAACGCCGCGUGAGUGAAGAAGUUUUUCGGAUCGUAAAGCUCGGUUGUAAGGGAAGAACGAGUGUGAGAGUGGAAAGUUCACACUGUGACGGUAACUUAACAGAAGCAGACGGCUAACUACGUA